GACGAACGCUGGCGGCAUGCCUAACACAUGCAAGUCGAACGGAGAUUAUUUCGGUAAUCUUAGUGGCGAACGGGUGAGUAACGCGUGGGCAACCUGCCCUCUAGAUGGGGACAACAUCCCGAAAGGGGUGCUAAUACCGAAUGUGACAGCAAUCUCGCAUGAGGAUGCUGUGAAAGAUGGCCUCUAUUUAUAAGCUAUCGCUAGAGGAUGGUCCUGCGUCUGAUUAGCUAGUUGGUGGGGUAACGGCCUACCAAGGCGAUGAUCAGUAGCCGGUCUGAGAGGAUGAACGGCCACAUUGGGACUGAGACACGGCCCAGACUCCUACGGGAGGCAGCAGUGGGGAAUCUUCCGCAAUGGGCGAAAGCCUGACGGAGCAAUGCCGCGUGAGUGAUGAAGGAAUUCGUUCCGUAAAGCUCUUUUGUUUAUGACGAAUGUGCAGAUUGUGAACAAUGAUCUGUAAUGACGGUAGUAAACGAAUAAGCCACGGCUAACUACGUG
This 498-nucleotide ribosomal RNA is filed under the name uncultured bacterium. Its description in RNAcentral is "partial 16S ribosomal RNA". It matches the Rfam family "Bacterial small subunit ribosomal RNA", at positions 28 to 507 of the family's 1533-position model. The record is from RNAcentral.